Brachypodium distachyon (stiff brome) is the source of this 2825-nucleotide RNA transcript. RefSeq lists it as uncharacterized. The transcript is spliced from 11 exons. The record is from RefSeq and is a predicted model, not a curated record. NCBI's taxonomy places the organism in Eukaryota, Viridiplantae, Streptophyta, Magnoliopsida, Poales, Poaceae.
GUCGGUAAAUGGCGCAAGAGGGAGAGUCUUCUUCUUCUUCACUCGAGACGACACGGCAGCCAGAAGAGCCGACACCAGCCUCUCCUGCGCACCUCGGCGGCACUCCAGCGCCAGCGGGCUCCCAAUCCACCCCGGAGCGAUCCCGGAAAAGGAGUUUGAGCGCCGGCGAGGAGGAGGAGGAGGAAGAGGCCAAGAAGAGAGAUCUGGGGAAGGAGGAGGAGGAAGAGGUAGUGUCUUCUGCGCCGAGCUCGCCGCUUUGCGAGCCCUGCAUCGCCGGGGAUCCGGAGAUAUACGACAGAUUUCGCUAUCCAGACGUGUACCGCGCCUUCGAGGCUGAAGAAGACAAGUUUCAAGAAGCAUUAGUUCGUCAGACGGAACUGCCCACUUUGAAGAUCUUCGGAUAUUCCACCUGCCUCUCUAAUGAUCCAAAUCUUCUUCCUAUCCGUGAAUUGGGAACAAGGGCAGUGCUUCGUGCAGCUAAAUUUCUACUUCGGCUCUCAUCAUUUCUUGAUGACAAGCCAUUACAAAGCUCCUCUGGUUUCUGGAUCGAGUGGGAUCAGGAGAAUAAAACAGGAAUUGUUUUGACCACUGCACAUUUACUCCGCUCAAAAUGCCCAUCCAUGGACCAUUGGUUAGGCAAAGACCAAUAUGUUCCUCAUGCUAAGGUUAUUGUUCACCUCUUGAAUGACACCACCACAGAAGGCCACCUGCUCUACCACCAGGAGCACUAUGAUCUUGCUUUUUUUAGGCUUAGAGUGGAUCAACCUGUUCAGUUACCUUCUUUUGAUUGCAACAUAAAAUGUGCUCAAGAGGUUUUCAUGCUUGGAAGAGAUGAAUUUAUGAAAUUAAGAAUAACCAGUGGUAGGGUGGAAUAUUUAAAUCCAAGCUUGUUUCAUAGAUAUCAUUAUAUCUAUGUUCAUCGGACAGAUUGCAAAGAUCGUCACAAUAAGUAUGAUGACGGAGGGCCAGUCAUUGACCUUGAUGGAAAUGUUGUGGGUAUAAUCAACAAUACCGUAAAAGGGUCUUUUAUGCCUACUUCUAUUUUGGUCAAGUGUUUGGAUUUGUUUAGAAAGCAUAGGUGCAUCCCUCGGCUCCACCUUGGACUAAAGUUUAGUGCCAUUGAACUUCUAGACCCUGCUCAUGUUGAGUGGAUAUGGCGGAAGUGUCAUAUUGACCAUGGUCUUAUUAUUAAAACGGUCUCAAGUGGGUCUCUUGCUGAGAAGCUUGGGAUCUGUAGAGGUGAUGUUCUUUAUCGUUUGGACGGAAAAGAUAUUUCUACUACGGUCGAGUUGGAAAAAAUGUUGCUGGACAUUUGCUUGGACUGUUUUGGCACAGAAAUAUACUGUAAUGACAAAGUGAAUAUCUCGAUUGAGGUAUUUGACGUGCGCCAAGUCUCUGGAGGACUAGAACAUUGACUGUUGAUGUAUCUGAUAGAGGAGAAAUUGUUGUGAUAGACGUUAAUUGUUGUGGCUUAUUCUUCGCAUAUCUGCUUGACUCAUUUCUAAAAGGAUUGCUUCUCGUACUUUUACCUUGGGAGAGGAAGGAUCCCUGCUUCAGUUUCACGAGGGGCAAGAGAUGUCGAAGAUUCAAGGAAUUGAAGCUCCACCAAGCGAAGGUCUAGAAGAGGAAACCUAACAGCUUGUUUGGCUACCAUCGAUCAUUUGGGCACGGAAUCAUGUAAUUCAUUUUGGAUUCUAAGAACCAACUUGUUUGGCUGCACUGGAAUUGAAUAUAGGAAUUCAAUAUGAAAGCCCAUAGAAUUGUACAUAUACCUAAAGCCAAUUCCUACCAAGAAGGCAUCAUUUCUCUAGAUUUAUCUCUUAUUUUAAUCCAUGUGGCAGACAAACAAGAUUUUUGAAUUCAGAAUUCAAAUUCAACCAAAUGAAAUUUUCUCAAAAAUUUACUCCCUCUGUCCCAUAUUAAGUGAUUUAAGUUUGUCCAAAUAUGAAUAUAUCUAUGCUUGAAAAGAAUCUAGAUAUAUGUAAUAGAAAGUCAUUUAACAUGAGACGGAGGGAGUAUUUUAUUUCAUUUCUACCAAAUAAAAUGAAGUGUGGAUGUCUUCUGAAGACUACGUCUAUUCAAUUAAAGUUGCGCAAGAGCAAGAGCAAUGUGAGCAGAUCUAAAUAAAAAGCUAGAACCAAGUCUUAGAAAAUGAGAAGUGGUGCAACGUAUCUUUUUUUAGCCUCAACUUGUAGGACCCACUUAUUAUAUUUUUUAAUUCCCCACCUCCACUUUCCCCAUCCUAUUCUUCAAUCUUCACGAGAGCUGUUCGUACUGCCGCCGCUAGCCUCGGCCUCAUCUUCCUCCCGGCGUCCUGGCCUCGGCCUCCUCCUCCUGGCCUCCUUUCUCAGUCUGCUCCGCGGCCGUUGUCGCCAUCAAGCGCUGCCUGUCUGCCACCAAGCUUCGGCCUCGUCCCGGCCUCCCGCCUCAAUCUGCUACUACCCAUCGCUGACGCGGCCAAGCGCCGCUGCACGCAUCGGCCUCCUCCUCCUCACGGCUGAUGACGCCGCCAAGCGACCCACGCGCCGCCGUCUUUGAUUGGAGCAGCGAUAGCCGGACGGAGGAGCAGCGCUCGUGAGCGUGGGGCCUACAAAGUCAACUAUCGUUGUAGAACCGAUGCUUCGACUUGAGUCGAGUCUAGCGAAAAUUUCUUAGCCAGUGCAUGCUGCAAUGGCUAGACCCGGGUCUUAAUCUUCUUAGCCCCUUCUUAGCCCUGGACUUGCUCUAAGACCUGCGGAGACUUUUCUUUUGGAAUUUCGGCUGAACUGUUUCUGUCACGUUAUCCUUGAUAGUGGAACCUCAGCAAGUUGCUGUGUUGAUGUGAA